This 2634-nucleotide long non-coding RNA is filed under the name Sus scrofa (pig). Its description in RNAcentral is "lncRNA (ENSSSCG00060062163.1)". The record is from RNAcentral. Lineage: Eukaryota; Metazoa; Chordata; Mammalia; Artiodactyla; Suidae.
GAGCUGUAUUAACAUGUUUCAGAGUUGAAUUCUGAGAUUGUUCCCAUUCACUCAAAAGAAGAAAAAAAAAGAAAAAGAAAAAAAGAAGAAAAAAAAAGUGUGAGUUCCUGCAUCAAACUGCAGUCAGGAAAGAGUCCUUGAGCAAUAACGAUACUUGCGGACGUGACUUUGAAUGUCAAGAUUAAGAGAAACCUGGCGAGGACGAUGGGAUUAAGAUGGCGGAGUAGAAGGACUGGAGCUCAACCUCUCUCCUAAAAACAACCAAAUUCACAACUAAAGGCUGAGCAAUCUCCACCCAAAUGGACCGGAAACCUUAAAAAAGAUACCCCCUACUCCAGAAGACAAAGAGGAGGCCACAUCAAGAGACUUCAAAAGAAACACUGACAUUUCCUGGAUCUUCAGCCUGCCAAUCUUGGAUCAGAACUAUACUAUUGGCUCUCUUGGGUCUCCAACUGACUACAGAUCCUGGGACUUGUCAACCUUCAUAAUCAUGUCAGAGAAAACAGAUCCAGUUUUAUGCAGAAUAAAAGUUAACUGUGAAGUGGUCUUAAUAUUUCCCUUGAAGAAUAUACGCAUAUGCAGCAAAGAUAAGGGCCCUACCGGGAGCACAGGCUAGGGGUUGGAUAGGAGCUGCAGCUGCCAGCCACCACCACAGCCACAGCCACACCAGAUCUGAGCUGCGUCUGUGACCUAUACCACAGCUCACGGCAACGCCAGAUCCUUAACCCACUGAGCAAGGCCAGGGAUCCAACUGGCAUCCUCAUGGAUACUAGUCAGGUUUGUUAACCGCUGAGACAUGACGGGAACUCCUAAAUGAAAUACGACAUCAAGAACCAACACAUUUCCCUCCAGAAACAGCACAGAUGGAAAGUUUCUUUAAAUGUAAGGAAGAGGAUCCUAAAGGUUCUAAUCAAGAAUUCUUUAGUUGGGAAAAGGCAGCCAUGUGACUGAGUUUCUGCAAUGGACUGGUGAACAGAAAGUAACAUCUAAUAGAUGGGCUACUUCAAGAGCUUUCGCCUUUUAUCAAAAUGAGACUGGAUUCAUUGGCAGCUAUGGAUUGAAAAAGGCAGAGACAUAAACUGGAAGGAACAUGCAUCCUUGAAUCAUGGAUUAGAGAAGAACCAUUGCUAAUCAGAAACGCUUGGUUUAUACUUACACAGAAUAGGUUCUUUUAUACUUGAAGCAUUAUAUAUGGAGGAUGGUUGCUUCUUACAAAAACUGUGACUACUUGUCAGUAUAUGGAACAUACAUUUUUAUUCCUUCCAUCAUUACUAGCAUAUAUGCAUUUUUUCUUUUUUUUUCUAUAUAAAUAAUCUAUUCUGUACUGUCAGUCCAAAUAUAUGAUUAUUUUCCUGGAAUUUUUUGUAUACAAAUGUAGGAUGUUUUUUAAAGAUUUGAUAAAUAUUUCCAAAAUUCUGGACUAAUAUCUUCUUUCCACUGAUUUGUGCUGAAAUAACUUCUACAAAUACUCUACAUAAACAACACACUGUCUGUCUCAGGAAAAUGAAUUCUGAUUUCUGUUUGUUCUAGAUGCAAGUCCCACUGUUUAAAUUAUUAGAGUUUUAUCAUACAUCUUAAUAAUUGCUAUUAUGAACUCUCACUUAUUUCUCUUUCUCAAGGGCCUAUUUGUUUCCAGUCACAUUCUUUUGAUAUUCUUUUCAGAAGCACUUUGUUAAGAUCCUUAAAAAUUCCAUAGAGAGUAUUACAUGAGAUGCAUUUAUUUAAUAAAUAUUUUUUAGGAAAUUCAAUAUAUUUAUAAUAUGUAGCAUUUCCAACCAUAAAGAUAAUUUUAUGUUUGCUUUGUUAAUCCACUUUAGUAGAAAUUUGUACUUUUCUUCAUGUACUCAUCCAUACUUUAGUCAAACUAUUAUUUGUAUUGCAAUAUGAAUGGAAUACAUGAGAUUUAAACUUUUGGGAAAAUGUAUGUUUUAAAAAGCAAUUGUAUUUGGAAUCAUUUUCUGUACAAAAGAUUCUGCUUUAUAAAAAUAAGUUAACAUAGAAAUCUAUACACAGAACUCCAUAUGACCCAGCAAUCCCACUCUUGGGCAUAUAUCCAGAUAAAACUUUCCUUGAAAAAGACGCAUGCACACACAUGUUCAUUGCAGUACUAUUCACAAUAGCUAAGACGUGGAAACAACCUAAAUGUCCAUCGACAGAUGAUUGGAUUAAGAAGAUGUGGUAUAUAUACACAAUGGAAUACAACUCAGCCAUAAAAAGAACAAAACAAUGCCAUUUGCAGCAACAUGGAUAGAACUAGAGACUCUCAUACUGAGUAUAGUAAGUCGGAAAGAGAAAGACAAAUAUGAUAUGAUUUCACUUAUAUCUGGAAUCUAAUAUACGGCGCAAAUGAACCUUUCCACAGAAAAGAAACUCAUGGACAUGGAGAGCAGACUGUGGUUGUCAAGAGGGAGGGGAGGGAGUGGGAGGAACUGGGAAUUUGGGGUUAAUAAAUGCAAACUAUUGCCUUUGGCAUGGAUAAGCAAUGGGGUCCUGCUGUAUAGCACUGGGAACUAUGUCUAGUCACUUGUGAUAGAGCAUGAUAAUGUGAGAAAAAAGAAUGUAUACAUGUAUGUGUGACUGGGUCACUUCACUGUGUGGUAGAAAAUUGACAGAACACUGUAAAUCAGCUUUAAU